GCCUACGGGAGGCAGCAGUGAGGAAUAUUGGACAAUGGGCGAAAGCCUGAUCCAGCCAUGCCGCGUGUGUGAAGAAGGCCUUUUGGUUGUAAAGCACUUUAAGCGAGGAGGAGGCUACUUGGAUUAAUACUCUAGGAUAGUGGACGUUACUCGCAGAAUAAGCACCGGCUAACUCUGUGCCAGCAGCCGCGGUCAUA
This 197-nucleotide ribosomal RNA is filed under the name uncultured Acinetobacter sp. RNAcentral's name for it is "partial 16S ribosomal RNA". It matches the Rfam family "Bacterial small subunit ribosomal RNA", at positions 337 to 525 of the family's 1533-position model. The record is from RNAcentral. Lineage: Bacteria; Pseudomonadati; Pseudomonadota; Gammaproteobacteria; Moraxellales; Moraxellaceae.